RNAcentral lists this ribosomal RNA (656 nucleotides) under uncultured Helicobacter sp. RNAcentral describes it as "bacterial SSU rRNA". It matches the Rfam family "Bacterial small subunit ribosomal RNA", at positions 7 to 690 of the family's 1533-position model. The record is from RNAcentral. Lineage: Bacteria; Pseudomonadati; Campylobacterota; Epsilonproteobacteria; Campylobacterales; Helicobacteraceae.
GAGAGUUUGAUCCUGGCUCAGGGUGAACGCUGGCGGCGUGCCUAAUACAUGCAAGUCGAACGAUGAAGCUUCUAGCUUGCUAGAAUGCUGAUUAGUGGCGCACGGGUGAGUAACGCAUAGGUCAUGUGCCUCUUAGUUUGGGAUAGCCAUUGGAAACGAUGAUUAAUACCAGAUACUCCCUACGGGGGAAAGAUUUAUCGCUAAGAGAUCAGCCUAUGUCCUAUCAGCUUGUUGGUAAGGUAAUGGCUUACCAAGGCUAUGACGGGUAUCCGGCCUGAGAGGGUGAACGGACACACUGGAACUGAGACACGGUCCAGACUCCUACGGGAGGCAGCAGUAGGGAAUAUUGCUCAAUGGGGGAAACCCUGAAGCAGCAACGCCGCGUGGAGGAUGAAGGUUUUAGGAUUGUAAACUCCUUUUGUUAGAGAAGAUAAUGACGGUAUCUAACGAAUAAGCACCGGCUAACUCCGUGCCAGCAGCCGCGGUAAUACGGAGGGUGCAAGCGUUACUCGGAAUCACUGGGCGUAAAGAGCGCGUAGGCGGGAUAGUCAGUCAGGUGUGAAAUCCUAUGGCUUAACCAUAGAACUGCAUUUGAAACUACUAUUCUAGAGUGUGGGAGAGGUAGGUGGAAUUCUUGGGUGUAGGGGUAAAAUCCC